UGACAGAGGCCUUUUAGAACCCCAUUCUUU
RNAcentral lists this non-coding RNA (30 nucleotides) under Mus musculus (house mouse). Lineage: Eukaryota; Metazoa; Chordata; Mammalia; Rodentia; Muridae. The record is from RNAcentral.